RNAcentral lists this long non-coding RNA (432 nucleotides) under Homo sapiens (human). RNAcentral's name for it is "HSALNT0371434". Lineage: Eukaryota; Metazoa; Chordata; Mammalia; Primates; Hominidae. The record is from RNAcentral.
GGAACCGCUGGGAGUUGGAAGCUUUCUUCCCACUGAGGGGCAAACCUUCUAGGUAUCUGAAGAUGUUGAAGACCAUUUCCUGGAACAGCAGAGGUAAAUGCCCAGAGGAUGAGAACACAUAGCCAUUAGGAGAGCCUGAAAGUUCAGUGUGACUGAAAGAUGAAGUUCAAGAGAAGGGACAAACUGCAAAACACAAGCUGGAGAGUUUUAGAUCUCAAUGGCGGGAACACCUUCAUGGCCCCUUUAUAGCUGGAUGAUCAUUUCCUGUUCUCUCCACCAUGGCCACCUGGUCCAAGCCACCAUCUUCAUGCACCUGGAUACCUGCCAUAACCUCAGCUGACCUUUCCUGUGUCCAUUCUUGUUCCUUUGGGCCCAGUCUCCUCGCUCAUAGCAGCAGAAUGAGUCUAUUAAAAAGUGAAACAAUUUCUGUCA